AUGUCGCAACAGUGCUAAUUUUGCGUCAAUGAACUGAAAGCAAAAUUCAGUAAAACUGGGAACAGAAAGAGAUACAAGCCCCAAGUUCCAUGUACUAAGCCAUAGCCCUUAGACGUGUUGAUGCAGAAGUAAACCCCAUCGAGUUGAUUUGUGCUUUCCCUUCACAGUCACUGGAUCACAGUCUAAAACCAACCCAAUAAGAAUUCUAGUCCUCGUGAAUGUGCAAAAUGCUCAUGGGCAAUGCCCAAUAUUUUCCUCUUCAAAGGCUCCAGCUUUCUGGCAUCAGAAAGUCCCACUGACAAUCAGAAUUCACAUCCCUCUUUUCCCCUUUAGCAGAUGACAAAUACUUUUCUCGGCCUCCUCUUGAUUAUACCAAAAAAGAAAAGAGGGUGAUGACCGACCGACUUCAAAACUCCAUUUAAAUAGUUCAGUGAGCACCUGCCUGCAACUGGAAAAAGUGCAGCCCAGGUAUAAGCUUGCCACCUCGGUGCGAACGGGAUCUGCCAACAAAGACUCCACUGCAAAAUCCAACCUCGCGCCAGUCUGAAUGCGAACUGACAGCAACCCAUCGGCCUCGGCAGAUGUUGAAUGAAAUUCCCUGCCUGGCUGUCAGCAGCCUGGGCACAUUUUGACAGCUUGGGAGCAUCCGACUGUCCUCCAGCAAUACGGCUUUCAUGAGAGAAACAAACACUAAUAUCUGAAAGGAAAACCGUUCAGCAGCUCACUCUUGUCUGUUCUCAGGCCCUCGGAGGCAGGCCCGAGUCUCUGUCUGCACACUUUAAUUCUCCGAAAGAGCAGCGUGACCUCUGCGGCAAAUGUCUGUGUAACAUUUGCAGAAGAGAUCCUCCCAAUAUCAAAAAAGGCCACAGCCGAGUUCCUCUCCGGCACAAGAGAAGUGAUGCCCUUUGCGGCAUGCUUUAGAGGCUCUGAUCUUCCUCACUAUCCCUUGGACACCCAAACCCUUGUUUGACUUGGCCGACUCAGUUUCACACAUGCAGUUUCCACUCUGGCGUCCCGGUAGCAAGCUACCUGCCCUCAGCAAGAUACCUUCUCACCUGUCUCUCUCCAAGGCCACUUGGGCCCAUGAGGAAAAGAAGGGGUCCAUUUCCAGGGAUGGC
Molecule: long non-coding RNA, 1118 nt
Organism: Varanus komodoensis (Komodo dragon)
Lineage: Eukaryota; Metazoa; Chordata; Lepidosauria; Squamata; Varanidae
Exons: 3
Source: RefSeq, a predicted model, not a curated record